RNAcentral lists this ribosomal RNA (548 nucleotides) under uncultured Cenococcum. RNAcentral's name for it is "eukaryotic LSU rRNA". The stretch from base 171 to 324 matches the Rfam family "5.8S ribosomal RNA". The record is from RNAcentral. Lineage: Eukaryota; Fungi; Ascomycota; Dothideomycetes; Gloniales; Gloniaceae.
UCCGUAGGUGAACCUGCGGAAGGAUCAUUACAGAAAGUAAACGCGGAUCGAACCGCGAACUUCUAAACCUUUGACGAUUGACUCAUGUUGCCUCGGCGGGUUCUCCCGCCAGAGGAUACAUCAAAACUCCUGUUUUAACGGUGUUGUCUGAGCUACAAGCAACGAAUCAAAACUUUCAACAACGGAUCUCUUGGUUCUGGCAUCGAUGAAGAACGCAGCGAAAUGCGAUAAGUAGUGUGAAUUGCAGAAUUCAGUGAAUCAUCGAAUCUUUGAACGCACAUUGCGCCCCUUGGUAUCCCGAGGGGCAUGCCUGUUCGAGCGUCAUUUCACCACUCAAGCCUGGCUUGGUGUUGGGCGACGUCCCCUUUGGGGACGCGCCUCGAAACGCUCGGCGGCGUGGCACCGGCUUUAAGCGUAGCAGAAUCUUUCGCUUUAAAAGUCGGGGCCCCGUCUGCCGGAAGACCUACUCGCAAGGUUGACCUCGGAUCAGGCAGGGAUACCCGCUGAACUUAAGCAUAUCAAUAAGCGGAGGAAAAGAAACCAACCAA